UUAGCCGACAAGGGUGAGAAAAGCCAUGUUAUAAGGAAGGUCAGCUAGCAAGAGCCCUGGAUGACCAUUAUGUACUGUCCAUGCUGAGACGGAGAAUGAACUCUUCCCCAAGGUUUUUAUUCCUUCCCUUUUCUCCCUGAUAUGCCGCUGCACAGCUUGAUGGGCCAGGGCGCUUUCCUCACAAAACCAAAGGAGCUGCAGGAGACAACUGGCAAGUGAGGAAGGAGCCUGGGAGAGCCCCGUCCCUCUCCGUCACUACAAUGGACAUGUUAUAUUAUGG
Long non-coding RNA from Neofelis nebulosa (Clouded leopard), 280 nucleotides. RefSeq lists it as uncharacterized. The record is from RefSeq and is a predicted model, not a curated record. Lineage: Eukaryota; Metazoa; Chordata; Mammalia; Carnivora; Felidae. The transcript is spliced from 3 exons.